This 492-nucleotide ribosomal RNA is filed under the name uncultured bacterium. Its description in RNAcentral is "partial 16S ribosomal RNA". It matches the Rfam family "Bacterial small subunit ribosomal RNA", at positions 29 to 507 of the family's 1533-position model. The record is from RNAcentral.
AGUGAACGCUGGCGGUAGGCCUAACACAUGCAAGUCGAACGGCAGCACAGUAAGAGCUUGCUCUUACGGGUGGCGAGUGGCGGACGGGUGAGGAAUACAUCGGAAUCUACUUUUUCGUGGGGGAUAACGUAGGGAAACUUACGCUAAUACCGCAUACGACCUACGGGUGAAAGCAGGGGAUCUUCGGACCUUGCGCGAUUGAAUGAGCCGAUGUCGGAUUAGCUAGUUGGCGGGGUAAAGGCCCACCAAGGCGACGAUCCGUAGCUGGUCUGAGAGGAUGAGCAGCCACACUGGAAAUGAGACACGGUCCAGACUCCUACGGGAGGCAGCAGUGGGGAAUAUUGGACAAUGGGCGCAAGCCUGAUCCAGCCAUACCGCGUGGGUGAAGAAGGCCUUCGGGUUGUAAAGCCCUUUUGUUGGGAAAGAAAAGCAGCAGGUUAAUACCCCGCUGUUCUGACGGUACCCAAAGAAUAAGCACCGGCUAACUUCGUG